AGUAUUACGCCGGAUGAACGGAAAUCAUUGAUGUUGAUUAAUAUGUAAUAAUAUUUAUUUCUAAUACUA
This 69-nucleotide transfer RNA is filed under the name Cryptonatica andoi. RNAcentral describes it as "tRNA-Ile". Lineage: Eukaryota; Metazoa; Mollusca; Gastropoda; Littorinimorpha; Naticidae. The record is from RNAcentral. RNAcentral also lists the same sequence under 1 other name.